UACGGGAGGCAGCAGUGGGGAAUAUUGCACAAUGGGCGCAAGCCUGAUGCAGCCAUGCCGCGUGUAUGAAGAAGGCCUUCGGGUUGUAAAGUACUUUCAGCGGGGAGGAAGGCGAUGCGGUUAAUAACCGCGUCGAUUGACGUUACCCGCAGAAGAAGCACCGGCUAACUCCGUGCCAGCAGCCGCGGUAAUACGGAGGGUGCAAGCGUUAAUCGGAAUUACUGGGCGUAAAGCGCACGCAGGCGGUCUGUUAAGUCAGAUGUGAAAUCCCCGGGCUUAACCUGGGAACUGCAUUUGAACUGGCAGGCUUGAGUCUUGUAGAGGGGGUAGAAUUCCAGGUGUAGCGGUGAAAUGCGUAGAGAUCUGGAGGAAUCCGGUGGCGAAGGCGGCCCCUGGGACAAAGCUGACGCUCAGGGUGCGAAAGCGUGGGGAGCAAACGAGGAUUAGGAU
Molecule: ribosomal RNA, 450 nt
Filed under: uncultured bacterium
Lineage: Bacteria
Description: bacterial SSU rRNA
Rfam family: Bacterial small subunit ribosomal RNA
Source: RNAcentral